GGGCUCACACAAGCGGUGGAGGAUGUGGCUUAAUUCGAGGCUACGCGAAGAACCUUAUCCUAGUCUUGACAUUCUUGAGAAUACCUCUGAAAGGAGGUAGUGCCUUCGGGAGCUCUUGAACAGGUGCUGCAUGGCUGUCGUCAGCUCGUGUCGUGAGAUGUCGGGUUAAGUCCCUUAACGAGCGAAACCCUUGUCUCUAGUUGCCAGCGUGUAAUGGCGGGGACUCUAGAGAGACUGCCGGUGUUAAACCGGAGGAAGGUGGGGAUGACGUCAAGUCCUCAUGGCCUUUAUGACUAGGGCUGCACACGUCCUACAAUGCGGCAUACAAAGGGAAGCAAACCCGUGAGGGGGAGCAAA
This 357-nucleotide ribosomal RNA is filed under the name uncultured bacterium. RNAcentral's name for it is "bacterial SSU rRNA". It matches the Rfam family "Bacterial small subunit ribosomal RNA", at positions 917 to 1271 of the family's 1533-position model. The record is from RNAcentral.